RNAcentral lists this ribosomal RNA (494 nucleotides) under uncultured bacterium. RNAcentral describes it as "partial 16S ribosomal RNA". It matches the Rfam family "Bacterial small subunit ribosomal RNA", at positions 28 to 507 of the family's 1533-position model. The record is from RNAcentral.
GACGAACGCUGGCGGCGUGCUUAACACAUGCAAGUCGAACGGAAAGGCCUGCUUUCCCUUGUGGAUUGCGGGUACUCGAGUGGCGAACGGGUGAGUAACACGUGAGUGAUCUGCCCCCAACUUGGGUAUAAGCCUGGGAAACUGGGUCUAAUUCCCGAUAGGACUGCAGGGUGGUGCCUGUGGUGGAACACGAUUUUCUAGUGGUUGGGGAUGAGCUCGCGGCCUAUCAGCUUGUUGGUGGGGUCAUGGCCUACCAAGGCGGCGACGGGUAGCCGGCCUGGGAGGGUGGACGGCCACAUUGGGACUGAGAUACGGCCCAGACUCCUACGGGAGGCAGCAGUGGGGAAUAUUGCACAAUGGGCGGAAGCCUGAUGCAGCGACGCCGCGUGGGGGAUGACGGCCUUCGGGUUGUAAACUCCUUUCGACCGCGAGGAAGCCACCUGGUUGGAAGGGUGGUGACGGUAGUGGUAGAAGAAGCACCGGCUAACUACGUG